RNAcentral lists this ribosomal RNA (292 nucleotides) under uncultured bacterium. RNAcentral describes it as "partial 16S ribosomal RNA". It matches the Rfam family "Bacterial small subunit ribosomal RNA", at positions 505 to 796 of the family's 1533-position model. The record is from RNAcentral.
GUGCCAGCCGCCGCGGUAAGACAGAGGCCUCAAGCGUUAGGCGGAAUCACUGGGCUUAAAGCGUGUGUAGGCGGAUCGUUAAGUGCCUUGUGAAAUCCCACGGCUCAACCGUGGAACUGCUGGGCAUACUGGCGGUCUUGAGCUAUCUAGGGGCGACUGGAACAGACGGUGGAGCGGUGAAAUGCGUAGAUAUCGUCUGGAACGCCAAAGGUGAAAACAGGUCGCUGGGGAUAUGCUGACGCUGAGACACGAAAGCCAGGGGAGCAAACGGGAUUAGAUACCCGUGUAGUCC